GGGCUUGGUUGGUGCUCCAGAGACUUGGGGACACAAGAUGGAGCAAGGAACCUGAGCCGAUUGGGAUCUUUUCUUGUUGUGUCUUGAUCGUGGAACCAGCAACAAGGGUCCAAGAAAAUUAUUGACAGCAGAUCUAUCAAAUCUUAGAAAGCCCUAGGGCUUAGAGAAGAGAAGGAGAGUGAGAGAGGAAGAGAAAGAGAGAGAAGAUUAGAGAGAAAAUGGCUUCUAUUCAGAUUCUAUUCAAUCACAUACUAUAAGGAAAUAUCUAUAUAAUCCCUAAUCAGAUACAUC
This 291-nucleotide long non-coding RNA is filed under the name Elaeis guineensis (African oil palm). RNAcentral describes it as "long non-coding RNA (EGUI_LNC039380)". Lineage: Eukaryota; Viridiplantae; Streptophyta; Magnoliopsida; Arecales; Arecaceae. The record is from RNAcentral.